Cucumis melo (muskmelon) is the source of this 808-nucleotide long non-coding RNA. RefSeq lists it as uncharacterized. NCBI's taxonomy places the organism in Eukaryota, Viridiplantae, Streptophyta, Magnoliopsida, Cucurbitales, Cucurbitaceae. The transcript is spliced from 2 exons. The record is from RefSeq and is a predicted model, not a curated record.
UCCUCUCCGGUCUUUCCGAUAAAAUUCACAAUCAGAAUUUAGGGUUCCUUCACAAAUCCUCUAUAAAUUUCAACCGAAUCGCACCUUUAGAAUUAUCUUCCGUCCGUCCUGAGAUUAUCUCCUUCUUCUUUAACUUUAAUUUCCGAUUUGUUUUGAUUUUCAUUGUCUUCUCCUUCAAUAGAAGCGAAAUGCGUUUGAUAUCUUGAAUCGUUUAUUUUCUCUCUCUUUAAAAAUUUCGAUGAAAUGGGUUGGUUAUUCUGAAUUGGCUCUAUCAUCGAGUCAGCAGCAGGCGCCGUUUUAAUGGCGAUCCGUCUGCCGCAUGGAGCCGAUAUUUUGUUACCGGAGGAAGAUCCUUGAAACUUAAUAGUUUUAAGAUACAAUGCCCGGUCGACAUUUUUUAAAAUUUCUAAUCCCAUUAUCUGCAAUUAGGUCUUUGUAGGGUUUUUGAAUUAGAGUUUGAAUUGGCAUUAAAAUCAGACACGGGUGUUUGUUCAUUAAUCUUACAACAAACAACCUUUUGCACGGUGCCUAUAUUGAGCUACUGAACACGAUUGGGGGAAUCUAUUAUUGUUUUAUAUGUCUCAGAAAACGCUUUUUCAUUUGUUGGAACAAUCCGGAUGAGAGACUAAUCGUGGGUUUCUUGCCUAUCAUCUGUCACGGUUGGCAUAGGGAUAAUUCGUUUUCGUUAUCACUGUUUCUUAAUGUUUGAUUUCAUUUGGGCAAAGAAAAAACUGUGAUGGUUUAAGAGUUCUGAAAAGCCUCAGUUGGCAAAGGUUUGAAAUUUGAUCUUUCAUAUCCUUUGUAACCA